This 466-nucleotide ribosomal RNA is filed under the name uncultured bacterium. RNAcentral describes it as "partial 16S ribosomal RNA". It matches the Rfam family "Bacterial small subunit ribosomal RNA", at positions 28 to 507 of the family's 1533-position model. The record is from RNAcentral.
GAUGAACGCUGGCGGCGUGCUUAACACAUGCAAGUCGAACGGUGAAAGAGAGCUUGCUCUCUGGAUCAGUGGCGAACGGGUGAGUAACACGUGAGCAAUCUGCCCCUGACUCUGGGAUAAGCGCUGGAAACGGCGUCUAAUACCGGAUACGAGCUGCGAAGGCAUCUUCAGCAGCUGGAAAGAACUUCGGUCAGGGAUGAGCUCGCGGCCUAUCAGCUAGUUGGUGAGUUAACGGCUCACCAAGGCGUCGACGGGUAGCCGGCCUGAGAGGGUGACCGGCCAAACUGGGACUGGGGCACGGCCCAGACUCCCACGGGAGGCAGCAGUGGGGAAUAUUGCACAAUGGGCGAAAGCCUGAUGCAGCAACGCCGCGUGAGGGACGACGGCCUUCGGGUUGUAAACCUAUUUUAGCAGAGAAGAAGCGAAAGUGACGGUACCUGCAGAAAAAGCACUGGCUAACUACGUG